GAUGAAGAACGCAGCGAAAUGCGAUACUUGGUGUGAAUUGCAGAAUCCCGUGAACCAUCGAGUCUUUGAACGCAAGUUGCGCCUCAAGCCAUUAGGUUGAGGGCACGUCUGCCUGGGCGUCACAUAUCGUUGCCUGAUGCCAGUUUCCUCGUGAUGGGUGACUGUGCAUGGCGAAUGAUGGCUUCCCGUGAGCAUUGUUGACUCAUGGUUGGUUGAAAAUUGAGUCCUUGGUAGGGAGCGCCGUGAUAGAUGGUGGUUGAGUGACGAACGAGACCCAAUCAUGUGAGACCCCUACCGAAUUUGGCCUUCAUGACCCACAUGCGUCUUUGGAACGCUCAUGACGAGACCUCAGGUCAGGCGGGGCUACCCGCUGAGUUUAAGCAUAUCAAUAAGCGGAGGA
This 400-nucleotide unclassified non-coding RNA is filed under the name soil metagenome. RNAcentral describes it as "partial contains 5.8S ribosomal RNA, internal transcribed spacer 2, and large subunit ribosomal RNA". The stretch from base 1 to 122 matches the Rfam family "5.8S ribosomal RNA", at positions 35 to 154 of the family's 154-position model. The record is from RNAcentral.